CCGCAGCCAAUUAAGCCGACCAGCCCCCCUGGCUCCGUGGGGGGAUGGUGCGCAAUGGCUGCGCACAGCAAGCCCCCUGGUUGUGUACGUGCUCCGUUCCUCCGUACGCAGCACCUUAAGGGACCUCGGGGACAAAG
This 137-nucleotide small nucleolar RNA is filed under the name Sphenodon punctatus (tuatara). Its description in RNAcentral is "Small nucleolar RNA SNORA70 (ENSSPUG00000018015.1)". It matches the Rfam family "Small nucleolar RNA SNORA70". Rfam says of the family: snoRNA U70 seems to be exclusive to mammals and is a member of the H/ACA class of snoRNA which contain H (ANANNA) and ACA box motifs. H/ACA box snoRNAs are involved in the conversion of uridines to pseudouridines (5-ribosyluracil) a constituent of structural RNAs (transfer, ribosomal, small nuclear, and small nucleolar). Lineage: Eukaryota; Metazoa; Chordata; Lepidosauria; Sphenodontia; Sphenodontidae. The record is from Rfam by way of RNAcentral.